GAUGAACGCUGGCGGCGUGCUUAACACAUGCAAGUCGAACGGAAAGGCCCUGCUUUUUUUGGGUGCUCGAGUAGCGAACGGGUGAGUAAAACGAGAGUAACCUGCCCCUGACACUGGGAUAACUUCAGGAAACUGAUGCUAGUACCUGAUAGGAGCUGCUGCUGCAUGGGGGGGAUUGGAAAGUUAAGGCGGUUGGGGAUCGACUCGCGGCUUAUCAGCUUGUUGGGGGGGUAGUUGCUUACCAAGGUGUCGGCGGGUAGGCGGCCUUGGGGGGGGACCCGCCACAUUGGGACUGAGGUCCGGGCCCGUAUCCUACGGGAGGCAGGAGUGGAGAAUCUUGCACAAUGGGCGGAAGCCUGAUGCAGCAGCGCCGCGUGCGGGAUGGAGGCCUUUGGGUUGUAAACCGCUUUCGACUGUGACGAAGCGUGAGUGACGGUAAUGGAUAAAGAAGCACCGGCUAACUACGUG
RNAcentral lists this ribosomal RNA (468 nucleotides) under uncultured bacterium. RNAcentral's name for it is "partial 16S ribosomal RNA". It matches the Rfam family "Bacterial small subunit ribosomal RNA", at positions 28 to 507 of the family's 1533-position model. The record is from RNAcentral.